Molecule: ribosomal RNA, 403 nt
Filed under: uncultured bacterium
Lineage: Bacteria
Description: bacterial SSU rRNA
Rfam family: Bacterial small subunit ribosomal RNA
Source: RNAcentral
AAUGAACGUUGGCGGCGUGGAUUAGGCAUGCAAGUCGCGCGAGAAAUUUCCUUCGGGAGAUGGACAGCGGCGGAAGGGAGAGGAAUAAGUAGAAAUCUGCCCUCGGGACGGGGAUAGCGGCGGGAAACUGCCGGUAAUACCCGAGUAACAUCUUAGGAUCAAAUGGUGUGAUUCCGCCUGAGGAUGAGUCUACUUCCUAUUAGCUAGUUGGCGGGGUAAUGGCCCACCAAGGCAACGAUGGGUAGCGGGUGUGAGAGCACGAUCCGCCUCACUGGGACUGAGACACUGCCCAGACACCUACGGGUGGCUGCAGUCGAGAAUCUUCGGCAAUGGGGGAAACCCUGACCGAGCGACGCCGCGUGCGGGAUGAAGGCCCUCGGGUUGUAAACCGCUGUCGUAAGGG